Molecule: transfer RNA, 67 nt
Filed under: Sphingobium chlorophenolicum L-1
Lineage: Bacteria; Pseudomonadati; Pseudomonadota; Alphaproteobacteria; Sphingomonadales; Sphingobiaceae
Description: tRNA-Leu (CAA) (tRNA-Leu-CAA-2-1)
Source: RNAcentral
GGGAUAACAGGUGAUAGUACCCUUCACACGGGUGGGGUCACAGGUUCAAUCCCUGUCGCGCCCACCA